RNAcentral lists this ribosomal RNA (1489 nucleotides) under uncultured Acidobacteriota bacterium. RNAcentral describes it as "bacterial SSU rRNA". It matches the Rfam family "Bacterial small subunit ribosomal RNA". Lineage: Bacteria; Pseudomonadati; Acidobacteriota. The record is from RNAcentral.
GAGAGUUUGAUCCUGGCUCAGAAUCAACGCUGGCGGCGUGCCUCAGACAUGCAAGUCGAACGAUUAAGACUCCCUUCGGGGAGUGUAUAAAGUGGCGCACGGGUGAGUAACACGUAAGUAAUCUACCUUCGAGUGGGGAAUAACGUUCGGAAACGAACGCUAAUACCGCAUAAUGCAGCGGCAUCGCAAGAUGACAGUUGUUAAAGGAGCAAUCCGCUUGAAGAGGAGCUUGCGGCAGAUUAGCUAGUUGGUAAGGUAACGGCUUACCAAGGCUACGAUCUGUAUCCGGCCUGAGAGGGCGGUCGGACACACUGACACUGAAUAACGGGUCAGACUCCUACGGGAGGCAGCAGUCGGGAAUUUUGGGCAAUGGGCGAAAGCCUGACCCAGCAACGCCGCGUGAAGGAUGAAGUAUUUCGGUAUGUAAACUUCGAAAGAAUAGGAAGAAUAAAUGACGGUACUAUUUAUAAGCUCCGGCUAACUACGUGCCAGCAGCCGCGGUAAUACGUAGGGAGCAAGCGUUGUUCGGAUUUACUGGGCGUAAAGGGCGCGUAGGCGGCGUGUUAAGUCAGCUGUGAAAUCUCCAAGCUCAACUUGGAACGGCCAGCUGAUACUGAUGUGCUAGAGUGCAGAAGGGGCAAUCGGAAUUCUUGGUGUAGCGGUGAAAUGCGUAGAUAUCAAGAGGAACACCUGAGGUGAAGACGGGUUGCUGGGCUGACACUGACGCUGAGGCGCGAAAGCCAGGGGAGCAAACGGGAUUAGAUAUCCCGGUAGUCCUGGCCCUAAACGAUGAAUACUUGGUGUCUGGAGUUUCAAUACUCCGGGUGCCGUCGCUAACGUUUUAAGUAUUCCGCCUGGGGAGUACGCACGCAAGUGUGAAACUCAAAGGAAUUGACGGGGACCCGCACAAGCGGUGGAGCAUGUGGUUUAAUUCGACGCAACGCGAAGAACCUUACCUGGGCUAGAAUGCCUCUGACAACUCCAGAGAUGGAGCCUCCUAGGGAAACCUAGGCAGAGUGCAAGGUGCUGCAUGGCUGUCGUCAGCUCGUGUCGUGAGAUGUUGGGUUAAGUCCCGCAACGAGCGCAACCCUUAUCAAUAGUUGCCAGCGGUUCGGCCGGGCACUCUAUUGAGACUGCCGUUGACAAAACGGAGGAAGGUGGGGAUGACGUCAAGUCCUCAUGGCCUUUAUGUCCAGGGCUACACACGUGCUACAAUGGCGGUGACAGUGGGCAGCAAACUCGCGAGAGUGAGCAAAUCCCAAAAAGCCGUCUCAGUUCGGAUUGUUCUCUGCAACUCGAGAGCAUGAAGGCGGAAUCGCUAGUAAUCGCGGAUCAGCAUGCCGCGGUGAAUACGUUCCCAGGCCUUGUACACACCGCCCGUCACACCAUGGGAGUUGGUUUCACCCGAAGGCAGUGCGCUAACCGCAAGGAGGCAGCUGACCACGGUGGGAUCAGCGACUGGGGUGAAGUCGUAACAAGGUAGCCGUAG